AGAAGAUUGUGGAAGAACUGCUACAGUAUGAAAUCUUGACAGGAAGGGAUCUCGAAAGAAUUAUUGCAGACAAUGGUGGGAUUCGAGAAAGAGAGCCAUUUUUUCUUUCAAGUACCAGUGCUGAAGAGGCCGUGGUUAGUAGACUUCUCGAUGAAAAAUCAUCGGGUACUGCACUUUUAAAUGCCGCCAACUAGUGUCGAAAAAGAUGUCGGUCGAGUUUCAUGUGCGCUUGGAUGCUAGUCGUUCCACCGGAUAUAUUUAUAAUACAGGCAUAAUUCAAGCGUAGGGCUGACGAGAUUUUUCAAUUUUCCUUCACAAUACUUUUUGGUUUUUCUCCCAGUGUUGUUUGUACAUAAUUAUGUAUUCUAAUGACAUGUUUGGUAAGGUAGAGUGGAAAACGAUAGAUUAUGCAUUUAUGAUUGAUAUGUAAUAAAUAUUUGGAGCAAAUAAAAAACACACCCCCUCCCUU
This is a long non-coding RNA of Olea europaea var. sylvestris, 469 nucleotides long. RefSeq lists it as uncharacterized. The transcript is spliced from 3 exons. NCBI's taxonomy places the organism in Eukaryota, Viridiplantae, Streptophyta, Magnoliopsida, Lamiales, Oleaceae. The record is from RefSeq and is a predicted model, not a curated record.